RNAcentral lists this ribosomal RNA (357 nucleotides) under uncultured bacterium. RNAcentral's name for it is "bacterial SSU rRNA". It matches the Rfam family "Bacterial small subunit ribosomal RNA", at positions 1 to 334 of the family's 1533-position model. The record is from RNAcentral.
GUGAGUAGUUCAGAGUUUGAUCCUGGCUCAGGAUGAACGCUGGCGGCGUGCUUAACACAUGCAAGUCGAACGAAGCAUUUUAACUUGAUUUCCUCGGAAUGAUUGUUACUUUGACUGAGUGGCGGACGGGUGAGUAACGCGUGGGUAACCUGCCUCAUACAGGGGGAUAACAGUUAGAAAUGACUGCUAAUACCGCAUAAGCGCACGGUAUCGCAUGAUACAGUGUGAAAAACUCCGGUGGUAUGAGAUGGACCCGCGUCUGAUUAGCUAGUUGGUGGGGUAACGGCCUACCAAGGCGACGAUCAGUAGCCGACCUGAGAGGGUGACCGGCCACAUUGGGACUGAGACACGGCCCAA